AUGGCCACAGCUGAACCAGAAUCAGACGUGGUAGCCAGAGGGCCAGCUCUUGGUGUACUCGCCGCUGUCGGUUGCCUCCUCGCCGCCGUCUUCGCUGAGCCGAAGAGCGAAGGCGAGCGCGAGCGAGGCCCACUCGAGCACGAAGAUGGCGGUGCCAAGACCGCCAACGAGCCUGAGGAUGACCGUGCCGUCCUCUUCCCGGACAUACGACCGCAGCUCGGUGAGGAAGUCAGCCGUGCGGGUGAAUGCGAGCACGGCUGCAGCGCCCUGGAAGAUGGCAGUGAGGACGGCACCGGCGGUGUGCGCAGUAUGCUGGGCUCCGGCGCCAGCUGCGGGGGUAGUGAAGGAGCCCGAGCAGCCAGCCGCGGCAAAGACCGCGGUGAGCGCGUGGAGGAAGACGAGGAGCAGGCCGCACGGGGAUGGGACGAGGCGGAGCGAGAGUGUGAGGAAGAUGCAGCCCGACGCCGCGCCCAGAAGCAAGUAGUUGCAGAGCAGGAACGCCCUGUGCGCUGCUACUUGCCCACCAGCCAUUGGUGCUGCUGUCUGCCGACACCGCAAGCUGAUUUAUUCUUGAUCACUCCCGAGCAAACUGAAGCAAGGAGACUGUGA
This 609-nucleotide ribosomal RNA is filed under the name Triticum aestivum (bread wheat). RNAcentral's name for it is "partial small subunit ribosomal RNA". Lineage: Eukaryota; Viridiplantae; Streptophyta; Magnoliopsida; Poales; Poaceae. The record is from RNAcentral.